RNAcentral lists this long non-coding RNA (2482 nucleotides) under Triticum aestivum (bread wheat). RNAcentral's name for it is "long non-coding RNA (TAES_LNC021133)". The record is from RNAcentral. Lineage: Eukaryota; Viridiplantae; Streptophyta; Magnoliopsida; Poales; Poaceae.
CCAGGCCGGCCCCUCCAUCCUCACUCCUUCCUUAAACCCCCCAUAACCCUUGUUCCUUUCCCUUCCCUCUAGCUACUCUUGCAGUCCCGCUCCUCUUCUCCAGGCCUCCCCGGCUCCAAACACAGACGGCGAGGAGGCGCCGGAGCUAGCUGCCGUCGCGGCGAGAGGGGGCGGAAGCUCUGUCUCCACCUCUUCCGCCCCCUCUCGCCGGCGUCGAUCAAACUGCCUCUGCAGGUAAGACCCCGGCAGCUCUUUUAAUCCAAAGAACCUCACCAAGCAUGAUGCAGUGAUUAGUUAGCUAGCCUGCUGUGUUCGUUUUGAUCCCUUAAUUACUUCUCUUAAGCCACCAGUAGACUACUGAACGCUGCUAGCUGAUGAAGCUAAGCAUACGGAGACCUCUUCUUUUUCUUGCUUGCCUGACUUGACCAUGGCGCCGGCUUAAGACUUUAAGAGCAUGGCUGCCACACCAGCCAUGGUGGUCUCCGUUCUCUGAGAGAGAGAGGGAGAGGAGACGGAGGAGCAGGCGGUGGCGUGUGUAUGGCGCGAGCCACAGACGCGUACACGUACGUACGUGUCAGCAGGCGCAGCGGGGGCGGGCGAGGGUCUCUCUACAGCUGGCUCCCGGGUGGACAUCUAGCUACGUCGGCGACCGGAUUAAUUAGACGUGACCCGACCCCGACCAGACCUGCGCUUAAUUAAGCGCCAGGGUGGUUGAUUAGGCGCCGGAUAUGUAUGUAUGCAUAGUUGCAUACGAACAUAAACAAACGCCCCGGCCCGUGAUUGCGUCGCGACGAGGCAAGUACGCAGGAGCAUUCAUUACGGCUGGUAGACCAGUGACAAAACGUACUCUCAUUACAAACAAACAGUAAUACUUUCGACAAAAGAAAAAAAAAGGUAACAGUGAGUGCAGUAGUACGCCGGUACUACCGUGGCAUGGAGACAUGAGGGAAAGCCCUACCGCUCGAGCGCCUAGCGCGCGCGUGCAUGCGUUGCUAGUUGACAAAUUCGUCAAGCAUCUUUUCUGUUACCAGCAUCGCAUCAUCGACGGGACAAAGCGUCUUGUCCUUUCUUCUUUCCCAGCUUCCUUCCACACUUCACCCACCUGCCACCCCCUUUUCUCGUCUCAUUUCAUCUCAGAUAAACCAAAAAAGGAAAGUGUACCAGGCCAUGCAUCGAUACAAAGCCCAUAAUACCUUUACGGCAAAAAAAAAGUGAAACCAAAGCUAGCCAAUGAAACGACAGAAAUCAAAGUAAUUUCCCCGGUGUAAACAGUAGGACUAUGCCACUAGAGUUGCCUUACUGCUUUCCAAAUGGAAUGAUCAAGGCAGGUGGGCUAACUUUGACAGGGUCCAAAUAAGCCCAUUGCUCCUGUACCUAGUCAAUGGGCCUGUAGCCCGAUGGAAUCCCCGGAAUGGUGCACAAAUGGAAGAGAGCUGCGGGUACAGCAAUGCCACUGCACGUUUGUCUCAAAAAAAAAAAGCAAUGCCACUGCACGCUGGCCACCCUGAACAAAAUAUAUUAGCUGGCGCCUUGUUGUCUUCCUUCCCUUCCUUCCCAACCGACGGAUGGGGCCCCCUAACUGGCCCGGACGUGAUGACGAAGUGUACUCCUGUGCUACGCCUACCUAUGUGGUACUCAUACUACUAGUUGAUCAUCACAAGCCAGAGGCUACACGCGCAAGGACAUCGAUCACGUUUGUUUGAUUGUUUCUACAGUUGGAUCGAUCGAUGGAGAUUGAUCAUCGUUGCCUACCGCGUUUGUACAAAUAUUGUGCUGUAAAGUGUACACUCUCCUAGUAUUAUCGUACACAUGUUUUAUAUUGUUGUUUUUGCUGCCUGUGCUACCCCCUCUGUUCGGGUUUGUAAGGCAUGCACUUAUUUCUUUUUAAAGAAAAUGAUCAUUAAUCUGGCAAUCAAUGUCACACAAAUUAUAAUUUGAAUCUGAAUUUAAUGGUAUGAUUUUGUGGCAUACAUACAACUAAUAUUUUUAUUAAUCAAAUUAAUGUUCUAUUCUUUUAAUAAUAUUUGUGGGUCUUACAAGCUCGAACGAAUGGAGGGGGUGUUUGGUUCAGGGACUUUUUAGUUCCAAAGACUAGAAAAAGUCCCUAAAAAGUCCCUAGGAACCAAAUGGGAGGGACUUUUUCUACAUGGACUAGAAAAAGACUCUAUUGAGAGUCUUUUUUGAUUAGUCCCUGGGACUAGAAAAAGUCCUACGACUUCUGAAACAAACACCCCCGGAGUGGUUACAAUGAAGUAAAUCGAGAAAGUAUAGGUAAAGUGCAGCGAUUCGGUGCCCAGGUGCAAACAGUAAUCAUUUAAAAUAGUAACCCAAGAUACUUGAAUGCAUGAUGUGCGUGCAAAAAUCCGUGAUGUUUGAACAUUCGAGGUGGUCGUGGCAAAAAAAAUGUAUGUGAAAGAAACUAUGAAAAUAUACACUAUUUGGGCCCAAUAUUUUCCUAUAGCUCCUCGAAUGUCCAAAACCC